UUUCAAAAAUCAGAUAAUAAGUUUGUUUAAUCAUAAAUCAGGUACCCAACUUUUCCAUUCAAAUUCCAAACCCUAAAAUUUUCAUUUUCACUCAUCUUCUCUCCUCACUCUCUCCACACAUCUGGCGCGCCGCCCAUUGCCGGAGACCACCGUGAACUCAAAGCUGCGAUAGUUAAUGGUGCAGCGGCGUCACCAUUGGAAGAGGAUCUCCGACGCAGCGGUGUUACCAUGGAUCGUCUGUACAGCUACAUCACCAUUGACCGUCGCGAGUAGCAACGCUGUGAGCAGUGUCCUGUCGUUCAUUUUACACACCUUGAUCCGAGCAUCCUUUCCAGCCUCACGCACUUCAGUGCUUAGUCAUGGUUUUGGGGUAGUUUUCCAUUGUUUAUCAUGGUUUUGGGGUGGUCUUCAGCUAUGAAUUUGAUUUUAUGGUGAUUGUGGAGUAAUUUUGGGAUGUGUUUUGUUGGUGGCGGUGGUGCUACUGUAGCGGUUAGGUUGCAGUGGUGGUGGUAUAGUAUUGUUGGUAUGUUGAAGGGGGAGCACGUGGCGACUGGUUGCCGACUUGGCUUGGUGCUGUGGCUGGUGGGUAGCGGUGGUGGUGUUGUUGGUAAUGGUUGUGAUGGUGUUGUGGCGGGGUGUGUGGUGUUUAUGACCAAGUAUUGUAGUGGAAUGCGAUCGGGAUAGGGUUUGGUGAUGCAGUGGUGUGGUGCAAGCUGCAAUUAGGUGGUGGUGAUUUGGGAUCAAGAUUGGUGUUGGUUCAGGACCGAUAGAGAAAGUGUUUGAAAUCUGAGACCAAUUAUUUGGAAUUUGUGACCAACUUUUUGGUGUCUGUGACCCAUUAUUUCGCUGAUUUGUAACAAAAUAUUAGGUGUUUUUGAACUAAAAAAUUAUUUGUGACCUAUGUGAUACGUAAAUAAAAUGUAACUUGUAAUUUGAAUGAUUUGUGACCUCUCGAAAUAA
Molecule: long non-coding RNA, 960 nt
Organism: Olea europaea var. sylvestris
Lineage: Eukaryota; Viridiplantae; Streptophyta; Magnoliopsida; Lamiales; Oleaceae
Exons: 2
Source: RefSeq, a predicted model, not a curated record